Molecule: transfer RNA, 76 nt
Filed under: Paracoccus sp. (in: a-proteobacteria)
Lineage: Bacteria; Pseudomonadati; Pseudomonadota; Alphaproteobacteria; Rhodobacterales; Paracoccaceae
Also listed under: 14 other names
Description: Paracoccus sp. (anaerobic digester metagenome) tRNA-Val
Rfam family: tRNA
About the family: Transfer RNA (tRNA) molecules are approximately 80 nucleotides in length.
Source: RNAcentral
GGGUGAUUAGCUCAGUUGGUAGAGCGCUUCGUUUACACCGAAGAUGUCGGCGGUUCGAGUCCGUCAUCACCCACCA